UACGGGGGGGGCAAGCGUUGUUCGGAAUUACUGGGCGUAAAGGGCUCGUAGGUGGCCAACUAAGUCAGACGUGAAAUCCCUCGGCUUAACCGGGGAACUGCGUCUGAUACUGGAUGGCUUGAGUUCGGGAGAGGGAUGCGGAAUUCCAGGUGUAGCGGUGAAAUGCGUAGAUAUCAGGAGGAACACCGAUGGCGAAGGCAGGUCUCUGGGCAUUAACUGACGCUGAGGAGCGAAAGCAUGGGGAGCGAACAGG
RNAcentral lists this ribosomal RNA (253 nucleotides) under uncultured bacterium. RNAcentral describes it as "partial 16S ribosomal RNA". It matches the Rfam family "Bacterial small subunit ribosomal RNA", at positions 524 to 776 of the family's 1533-position model. The record is from RNAcentral.